This 253-nucleotide ribosomal RNA is filed under the name uncultured bacterium. RNAcentral's name for it is "partial 16S ribosomal RNA". It matches the Rfam family "Bacterial small subunit ribosomal RNA", at positions 524 to 776 of the family's 1533-position model. The record is from RNAcentral.
UACGUAGGGUGCGAGCGUUGUCCGGAAUUAUUGGGCGUAAAGGGCUCGUAGGCGGUUUGUCGCGUCGGGAGUGAAAACCCAGGGCUUAACCCUGGGCUGGCUUCCGAUACGGGCAGACUAGAGGUAUGCAGGGGAGAACGGAAUUCCUGGUGUAGCGGUGAAAUGCGCAGAUAUCAGGAGGAACACCGGUGGCGAAGGCGGUUCUCUGGGCCUUACCUGACGCUGAGGAGCGAAAGCAUGGGGAGCGAACAGG